CUAUUUCAUCUGAAACGUCGUUCACCUUACAUCUGAAACCCUUCUCCUUCUCUGAGUUGUUUCUCUACUGAAACGCUUUUCACUUUAUAUCUGAAACCCUUCUCCUUCUCUGAGCAGUUUCUCUAGGGUUUCGAAUAUAUAAAAUCAGCCAAGGAUUCGCAUUCUUCCUCAGAGGAUUUCAUGUAUCUGACCAUCUCUGCUUCAGUCAAGGAUCCGCUGCAAUCAGGAUUGACAUGGGAAUUCAGGGCUUCCGCAAUCUCCAUGUCCGCUUGGAAGUCAGGAUUCGCAUGAAGAAAUAGAGGCUUUAAAUUGCUUCACGUUCUUCUUUUCUUCAUUUUCUCUCUAGGGUUCCGAAAUUGACAGAUUUGGGAGAGAGGCUUUCUGCAAUUUUUCAGUUUUGGGUGCUGCAAUUUCACCUUCGCAGGUUGCAAUGCUGAGAUUUAGGGGUAAUAAUUUCCCCCGUUCUUAAAUUCAUGGAAUGCAUUAUAAUUAGGGUUUGAUGGAACAAGACCUAAGUAAGUGAGAUGUGAUAAAAUGGCAUCCGCCAUCUCUUGAAGUCACAUCUCAGCAAGCUACUAUUAAUAUCAGUUAUAUCACUGUUAAUGAAGACUGUGGGAGGGCCCUUUUCUAUUGGUUCUUUGAAGCUAAAUCUGAAUCGUGCAAAAAGUCUCUACUUCUCUAGCUCUAUGGAAGUCUGUGGUUAUCUAUUUGCUAAAUAUAUACUGAUUCUGGAGAAGCAAAUAUUCCAUCCAUUCUAGAUUAUGUGAGAACUUCCAUUGAGUGAACUAAAUAUCAAGGGAGCUUCCUUAUCCAACCAACUUAUGAGGUGAAAGAACAAUCCCUGCUCCAUCAGAGGAGCUAUCAGAAAAUUAGAGCACCGCAUGGCUCUCAUUCUUCACCAUAGCAAUACAAACACCAAUCGCUCCAUAGUCCAUCAAGUUGUUGUUACAAACACAUAACACUUUGAUCGGUUCCUCAAGUUGAACCUGUCCUCCAAGCCAGCUUCCCUGUGCUUCUGUUUUAGACAUCCAAAUGGUUCAAUUUCUUCUCCUCUACCAUCCGAACGGUUUCUCAAGUUUAACCUGUCUUCCAAGCCAGGUUCGCCUCCCCUUUUACCCAGAUGGUUUUCGAUCGCUAAGGUUUAGGAUCCCCUCCAUGCUUCUGUCGCUUUGACCUGCCACCUUCAUGGCCUGGAUCAGAUGAGUAACUCUGUUGUUGUUCACUUCCUUUCCUUCUUUGGUUUCAUUUUGUGUUUCACCACCAUAAUGAUUAUUUUGGUAUUUAUUGAUGAGACUCCCUUCUGCAUUCUCUGAAACCAGGGCUUGCAGGGUCAAAAAUUAACCCCUUUCAGAGACCAGAGAAAUGGUUUGAUGGUGGCAGUGUAUUGGUCAUGUGAUGCCCAGAUCACUGGUGCGUACACAGGCAGCGCAGAGAUGUAAGUGGAGGUGCUUAUUUCACUAUCCUCCAAUUUACACACAACUUUAUGGGAAAACACUGUCCCAGAUGGCGAGAAAAAUGAAAUCAGAGAGAACCAAAGAUGAAGAGAAGAUCCUUCUUCAUGCAUAGUGCAUUGAGAAGAUCCUUCUUCAUUUCCUUCCUACUAUUAGAAACUUUGAUAAGAUCCAUCUUAAUGCUAUGUAUAUCUUUUCAACUUUUGAGUUGUAAUGAAGGGAUUUUUUUAAAGUGUGUUUUCUUUGCCUUAAUGUUUUUAGGGUGGGUUUUAAGUCAGCUGUAGAAAUUUCCUGUUUUAGUUAUUAUGUGAGUAAAGAAUUUGUAAAUCACAUAUUUAAUAUUUAUGGAAGUAUGAAAAUAAGGGGUGUUUUCAAAUUGGCA
Molecule: long non-coding RNA, 1833 nt
Organism: Lotus japonicus
Lineage: Eukaryota; Viridiplantae; Streptophyta; Magnoliopsida; Fabales; Fabaceae
Exons: 8
Source: RefSeq, a predicted model, not a curated record